Molecule: non-coding RNA, 208 nt
Organism: Schizosaccharomyces pombe (fission yeast)
Lineage: Eukaryota; Fungi; Ascomycota; Schizosaccharomycetes; Schizosaccharomycetales; Schizosaccharomycetaceae
Source: the annotation of a GenBank genome assembly
CAAGCAUUCACUGACAGAACCUUUUUCUCAAAUAAACAACUAUGGGAUUGAUUGCCUACUAUUUGUGUUUAGCACUGAUAAUUGAAGGCCAAAAAUUACAUUUUAUUUCUUCUCUUCACAAAAGAUUAAAUUCAACCAUUAGUUUAUUGUUUACUAUAAAUACUGUGGAUUACAAAAAGCAAAUACCCUAACACUAUUUCAGGAAAGC